AUGGCGGCGAGGGCACUCGGGCUCGCUGGCCGAGCGCUCCUGCGACCGGUCGCCUCACCAGGCACCCAACGGCUGCUGUCGACUGACAAGAACUCACUGCAGGGCCUUACGAACGGCGAUCCGGUGAGCCGCCUCAUGCAAACACGGAAGCAGAAUGACAGCAUUUACAGUCGCUUUGCUGAAAAUGAUUUCACAGGCGGCGGUAGCAGGUCUGGCCGAUUAAACAUGGAAAUAACGUGGACAGCGGCUCCGCGAGUAAAGAUGGAUGUUCUACACAUCACACCCAAGGAGAAAAAGACCUUUGUGACCGUGACGGACGUCAAGGAGAACAGGAAGGCCGGGGCUUCUGCUGGCUGCUUGGAGGAUCGUAAAGGGCGGUUUCGUCUUGCUCGGUGCGCAGGUGAAGCAACAGGGAAACACAUGGGGCGAUCCGCCAGCACGAUUGGCCUCAAGUCGAUCGUCGUGAAAGUGAAAGGAUGUUCCUUUUUCAGGAAGAAGAAGAAAGUGCUCUUGAGCUUUGCAGCCGGUUCCCGAGGUGAAAGAGUGAGGAGCCUUUCUCCUAAAUAA
RNAcentral lists this ribosomal RNA (567 nucleotides) under Triticum aestivum (bread wheat). Its description in RNAcentral is "partial small subunit ribosomal RNA". The record is from RNAcentral. Lineage: Eukaryota; Viridiplantae; Streptophyta; Magnoliopsida; Poales; Poaceae.